Molecule: transfer RNA, 87 nt
Filed under: Deltaproteobacteria bacterium
Lineage: Bacteria; Pseudomonadati; Myxococcota; Myxococcia
Description: tRNA-Leu
Rfam family: tRNA
About the family: Transfer RNA (tRNA) molecules are approximately 80 nucleotides in length. Their secondary structure includes four short double-helical elements and three loops (D, anti-codon, and T loops). Further hydrogen bonds mediate the characteristic L-shaped molecular structure. tRNAs have two regions of fundamental functional importance: the anti-codon, which is responsible for specific mRNA codon recognition, and the 3' end, to which the tRNAs corresponding amino acid is attached (by aminoacyl-tRNA synthetases). tRNAs cope with the degeneracy of the genetic code in two manners: having more than one tRNA (with a specific anti-codon) for a particular amino acid; and 'wobble' base-pairing, i.e. permitting non-standard base-pairing at the 3rd anti-codon position.
Source: RNAcentral
GCCCGGGUGGCGGAACUGGCAGACGCACGGGACUUAAAAUCCCGAGAGGGCGACCUCAUGCGGGUUCAAUUCCCGCCCCGGGCACCA